CCUACGGGAGGCAGCAGUGGGGAAUAUUGCACAAUGGGCGCAAGCCUGAUGCAGCCAUGCCGCGUGUGUGAAGAAGGCCUUCGGGUUGUAAAGCACUUUCAGCGGGGAGGAAGGUGUUGAGGUUAAUAACCUCAGCAAUUGACGUUACCCGCAGAAGAAGCACCGGCUAACCCCGUGCCAGCAGCCGCGGUAAUACGGAGGGUGCAAGCGUUAAUCGGAAUUACUGGGCGUAAAACGCACGCAGGAGGUCUGUCAAGUCGGAUGUGAAAUCCCCGGGCUCAACCUGGGAACUGCAUUCGAAACUGGCAGGCUAGAGUCUUGUAGAGGGGGGUAGAAUUCCAGGUGUAGCGGUGAAAUGCGUAGAGAUCUGGAGGAAUACCGGUGGCGAAGGCGGCCCCCUGGACAAAGACUGACGCUCAGGUGCGAAAGCGUGGGGAGCAAACAGGAUUAGAUACCCGGGUAGUC
Molecule: ribosomal RNA, 465 nt
Filed under: uncultured bacterium
Lineage: Bacteria
Description: bacterial SSU rRNA
Rfam family: Bacterial small subunit ribosomal RNA
Source: RNAcentral